RNAcentral lists this ribosomal RNA (490 nucleotides) under uncultured bacterium. Its description in RNAcentral is "partial 16S ribosomal RNA". It matches the Rfam family "Bacterial small subunit ribosomal RNA", at positions 28 to 507 of the family's 1533-position model. The record is from RNAcentral.
GAUGAACGCUCGCUACAGGCUUAACACAUGCAAGUCGCGGGGCAGCAUGGGGGUUGCUUGCAAUCCCCGAUGGCGACCGGCGCACGGGUGAGUAACGCGUAUCCAACCUGCCCUUCACCACGGGAUAACCCGGCGAAAGUCGGACUAAUACCGUAUGUUGUCCAUUGACGGCAUCCGAUUUGGACGAAAGGCUUGGCGGUGAGGGAUGGGGAUGCGUCCGAUUAGCCAGACGGCGGGGUAACGGCCCACCGUGGCUACGAUCGGUAGGGGCUCUGAGAGGAAGGUCCCCCACACUGGAACUGAGACACGGUCCAGACUCCUACGGGAGGCAGCAGUGAGGAAUAUUGGUCAAUGGGCGUAAGCCUGAACCAGCCAAGUAGCGUGCAGGAUGACGGCCCUAUGGGUUGUAAACUGCUUUUAUGCGGGGAUAAAGUGGCCCACGUGUGGGCUUUUGCAGGUACCGCAUGAAUAAGGACCGGCUAAUUCCGUG